Molecule: ribosomal RNA, 774 nt
Filed under: uncultured Neocallimastigales
Lineage: Eukaryota; Fungi; Neocallimastigomycota; Neocallimastigomycetes; Neocallimastigales
Description: partial large subunit ribosomal RNA
Rfam family: Eukaryotic large subunit ribosomal RNA
Source: RNAcentral
CACUGACGUCGCGACGCAUAUCAAUAAGCGGAGGAAAAGAAACUAACAAGGAUUCCCUUAGUAACAGCGAGUGAAGCGGGAAGAGCUCAAAUUUGAAAUCUUCAAGGUUCUACCUUGACGAAUUGUAGUUUAAAGAAGUGUUUUCUGUUAGUGGAGUGGCAAAAGUUCUUUGGAAUAGGACAUCAUAGAGGGUGAGAAUCCCGUAUUUGGUCAUUCCUUCUAGCUUUGUGAUACACUUUCAAAGAGUCGGAUUGUUUGGGAAAUGCAGUCCAAAAUGGGUGGUAAAUUUCAUCUAAAGCUAAAUAUUGGCGAGAGACCGAUAGCGAACAAGUACCGUGAGGGAAAGAUGAAAAGAACUUUGAAAAGAGAGUUAAACAGUACGUGAAAUUGUCAAAAGGGAAGCGUUUGACACCAGUGUUGUUUUUCCGAAAAUCAAUUAUAAAUGUUUUGUUUCUGAGGAGUGAUGACUUCAUCGGCUUCCUUCUCUCUUCACGAAACUUUUGUAAUGCACUUUUCGGUUAACAAGUCAACAUCAAUUUCUUUUGUUGUAAAAGAGUAUUCGGAAGGUGGCUUUCUUUUCGGAGAAAGUGUUUAUAGCCCUAUACUUCUACAAUCGGAGAGAUUGAGGUCUGCAGCGUAGAUCCUUCGGGGUUAGAUACACUUGUGCUAAGUUAUAGCUUUUCAUAGACAACUUGUUGACUAUGUUUAGUCAUGCGGCUUACUCGCUUAUGCUAUUUUACCUACGCUUAGGAUGUUGAGUCGUAGAGCACGCAG